This 561-nucleotide ribosomal RNA is filed under the name uncultured bacterium. Its description in RNAcentral is "bacterial SSU rRNA". It matches the Rfam family "Bacterial small subunit ribosomal RNA", at positions 338 to 916 of the family's 1533-position model. The record is from RNAcentral.
CCUACGGGAGGCAGCAGUGGGGAAUCUUGCGCAAUGGGCGAAAGCCUGACGCAGCAACGCCGCGUGCGGGAAGAAGGCCUUCGGGUUGUAAACCGCUUUCAGCAGGAACGAAAAUGACGGUACCCGCAGAAGAAGGUGCGGCCAACUAUGUGCCAGCAGCCGCGGUGAUACAUAGGCACCAAGCGUUGUCCGGAUUUAUUGGGCGUAAAGAGCUCGUAGGCGGUUCAGUCAGUCGGGUGUGAAAACUCUGGGCUUAACCCAGAGCCUGCACCCGAUACUGCUGUGACUAGAGUUCGGUAGGGGAGCGGGGAAUUCCUGGUGUAGCGGUGAAAUGCGCAGAUAUCAGGAGGAACACCGAUGGCGAAGGCACCGCUCUGGGCCGAAACUGACGCUGAGGAGCGAAAGCAUGGGUAGCAAACAGGAUUAGAUACCCUGGUAGUCCAUGCCGUAAACGUUGGGCACUAGGUGUGGGUUCCAAUCAACGGAAUCCGCGCCGUCGCUAACGCAUUAAGUGCCCGCCUGGGGAGUACGGUCGCAAGCGAAACUCAAAGGAAUUGACGG